GGAUUGUGGAUCAGUGGUAAAGCACUUGCCUUGAAUGUGUGAGGCACUGGGUUCAAUUCUCAGCACCA
RNAcentral lists this transfer RNA (68 nucleotides) under Marmota monax (woodchuck). Its description in RNAcentral is "tRNA.Ser". The record is from RNAcentral. Lineage: Eukaryota; Metazoa; Chordata; Mammalia; Rodentia; Sciuridae.